RNAcentral lists this small RNA (186 nucleotides) under Cyanistes caeruleus (blue tit). RNAcentral's name for it is "TUC338 (ENSCCEG00000017361.1)". The record is from RNAcentral. Lineage: Eukaryota; Metazoa; Chordata; Aves; Passeriformes; Paridae.
GUAAAAGUAGUGAAAACAAAAGCUGCCUUUUUAUUCACAGGCUAAAUACAGCAUACAGCAGCUGCACUGCAUGCUAAGCCCAUAUUAGCCUCUUUAUGACCUCAGUUUUGACCUUAAACAAAGUUUCUUGCUCCAUUUAAAAGAAGGUAUUAUUUUUCUUUCUAACCUGACUUCUCAUGAGGUUCU